CCAGACCUCAUUUAAGGGUUGGCAGUGGAGGUGAAGGUGUCUUGCUGGAGAUCCCUGCCUAUCUACGACCUUCUGAGGGGUCAUCCACGUUCCCUUCAGGAAAGAGGAUUUCACCAUUGCAUUCAGCAUCCAGCGAUGAUUGAGCUGUUCUGGGGUCACAAAAUUAAACCAUCCUCUUGUGAGGGCAUAGGAGGAACAUUAUUACCUCCACAGCAAGGAAUAAAAAAAUCCCCACAAACCAGAGCACUGUCCUAUUUGGCUGUAUUACUUCUUCUCUGAGCAACACUGACUUUACUGACUCCAAGUACAGGUGGAGAAGAUCUGGAGAUGCUCGUGCCACUGACAUGUAAGCCAUGUGUGAUGGCACCAGGACAACAGUCUGUGACCUGGAUGGACUUUGUAUCUCAGUUUCCCCUAUGGACAAGGAGGUUGUCCAUUGUGCUCCUUGGUUUUAGUCACUGUGGUUCAUCGCCUACCAGACCUUUGUGGGCACCCCAGUUUCUCGAACAGCUGGCUCCAAGAAGCUGUUGGUGUUGGACAUUUCCUUUUAUUGACUGGAAGGAAAGCACUAGGAAAGCCUGCUUAGUUGAAAAAGAAAGCAGAGGGGAAAAGAGGUCUUUCCUAUUCUGUGUCUAUGUGACUUCCAGCUCAAGGUUUGAGCUAAUGUGUGAUAGAUCCAGCUUGUCGUCAACCUGGCUCUACACAAUCCCCC
RNAcentral lists this long non-coding RNA (712 nucleotides) under Gallus gallus (chicken). Its description in RNAcentral is "lncRNA (ENSGALG00010026263.1)". Lineage: Eukaryota; Metazoa; Chordata; Aves; Galliformes; Phasianidae. The record is from RNAcentral.